AAUACAGAGGAAAAAUUUGGACUGAUUGCAACCUCUUCAUAAUGAAAACAUUCAUUAUGGAUGCUGAAAGAUUUUCAUUUCAGUUUUAAAAAAUGCUAAAGCAGGAAUC
Flavobacterium sp. KMS is the source of this 109-nucleotide regulatory RNA element. The record is from Rfam. NCBI's taxonomy places the organism in Bacteria, Pseudomonadati, Bacteroidota, Flavobacteriia, Flavobacteriales, Flavobacteriaceae.